UAGUCAUAUGCUUGUCUCAAAGAUUAAGCCAUGCAUGUCUAAGUACAUACUGUUUAUAAAGUGAAACCGCGAAUGGCUCAUUAAAUCAUUAAGGCCACGGCCCCUAGCGAAUCUACCAUAAUUUUGUUCAAGCAAGUCUUCCAAGCCUCUUCCGUAGCAAAUACUCAGAAAUCUUAAAGUGUUCAUAGAACUCGACAACUAUUAUUUGAGGAACAUUUAAUACUGUCAAUGAGUCACUAGUCACUUUCAAAAAUAGCAGGUCCACUGCGAGGUUGGGGUCUUGUUUGGCGGAGUUUUUGGCUAAGGUUCCGGCGUGUCUAGGGGUGAACGCAAUCGCCUCUACGAGGUGUGGCUAGAAACUAGAGAACGGCAGCUCAUACGUACCAUUCGUUGGCUAACGGAGAGUGUCACUGU
This 414-nucleotide ribosomal RNA is filed under the name Tetranychus urticae (two-spotted spider mite). Its description in RNAcentral is "rRNA tetur368g00011". It matches the Rfam family "Eukaryotic small subunit ribosomal RNA", at positions 21 to 310 of the family's 1831-position model. Lineage: Eukaryota; Metazoa; Arthropoda; Arachnida; Trombidiformes; Tetranychidae. The record is from RNAcentral.